Molecule: unclassified non-coding RNA, 721 nt
Filed under: Hevea brasiliensis (rubber tree)
Lineage: Eukaryota; Viridiplantae; Streptophyta; Magnoliopsida; Malpighiales; Euphorbiaceae
Source: RNAcentral
UCUUUAUAUUGAAAUAUAGAAUUCAUUGAUAUAAGGGAUUAUACAACCAUUAGCCUAUUAUAAAAAAUUCAAUCCACAAAGUAAUAUAAAGAUUAAAAACUAAAUACAGCCCAAGGCCUAUAAAAAGAAAAUUCUAUCCUAAACGGGUAAUCCGAAAAAGAAAAAAGGGCAUAUCAUAAUCUUCAAGUUGCAAAGCUACCUGAAAGAGGAAAUGGAUACAGUGAGAAGCAUCGGGGCGGAACUCUUUAGCCAAAGGAUGUGAAUCAACAAAGCUUGAUGAAGUCCUAGAAGAGUUAACACCUUGUCCGUCAUUAUCCUGACGAAGCAGCAAGAUCGAGCAAACUAGAAAAAAAAGACCAAGAAGCUCCAGAGCAAACCAACCAUAUAACCCAUAAAACAUAAACACAUGCUAGUUAAGUAUUCCUGAAGGGUGAUGAGGCAAAAUUUUAAUAGCAGUAGAAGCCAUGGGUUCGGUCAUGAGGUCAGAGCCAAUUAGAGACCCUUGAGGUACCUUCAUCCUUAAAAGCAUUCCCCUCCCAGAGUUAAAGAACAUGGAGCAAAUGCAGUAGCCCAUCUCUGCUUACAACCAACUCGGUAGGCAGAACAUCAAAACCAGGAGGGACGAGCCGCGAUAAGCAGGUAGGAGGAAGGCUGUCCUCUACCCAGAAAGGACAAGGAACAGUCAACGAAAACUCGGCAAGAGGGAGACCUUUAAUCUCAG